This 163-nucleotide ribosomal RNA is filed under the name uncultured bacterium. RNAcentral's name for it is "partial 16S rRNA". It matches the Rfam family "Bacterial small subunit ribosomal RNA", at positions 355 to 511 of the family's 1533-position model. The record is from RNAcentral.
UAGGGAAUCUUCCACAAUGGGCGAAAGCCUGAUGGAGCAACGCCGCGUGUGUGAUGAAGGGCUUCGGCUCGUAAAACACUGUUGUAAGAGAAGAAUGACAUUGAGAGUAACUGUUCAAUGUGUGCGGUAUCUUACCAGAAAGGAACGGCUAAAUACGUGCUAG